RNAcentral lists this ribosomal RNA (497 nucleotides) under uncultured bacterium. RNAcentral's name for it is "partial 16S ribosomal RNA". It matches the Rfam family "Bacterial small subunit ribosomal RNA", at positions 28 to 507 of the family's 1533-position model. The record is from RNAcentral.
GAUGAACGCUGGCGGCGUGCCUAAUACAUGCAAGUCGAGCGAACAGACGAGGAGCUUGCUCCUCUGACGUUAGCGGCGGACGGGUGAGUAACACGUGGAUAACCUACCUAUAAGACUGGGAUAACUUCGGGAAACCGGAGCUAAUACCGGAUAAUAUAUUGAACCGCAUGGUUCAAUAGUGAAAGACGGUUUUGCUGUCACUUAUAGAUGGAUCCGCGCCGCAUUAGCUAGUUGGUAAGGUAACGGCUUACCAAGGCAACGAUGCGUAGCCGACCUGAGAGGGGGACGGCCCACCUGAGACCGGAGCCCGGGCCCAGCACCCGCGGGGGGGCGCCAGUCGGGAUGCUUCCGAAAGGGGCAAAGGCCGGACGGAGCACCCGCGGGGGAGGAAUGAGGUUUUCGGGAUCUAAACGCUUUUUUAUUAGGAAAAAACAAAUGGGAAAUAAACAAUGCACUUCUUGACGGUCCCUAAUCAAAAGCCCCCGGCUAACUACGUG